GUAGAGGGGCAACCCUUGAGAGUGGCGAACGGGUGAGUAAUGCAUCGGAACGUGCCCAGUCGUGGGGGAUAACGCAGCGAAAGCUGUGCUAAUACCGCAUGUGAUCUGUGGAUGAAAGCAGGGGACUUGGUAGCAAUACUGGGCCUUGUGCGAUUGGAGCGGCCGAUGUCAGAUUAGCUAGUUGGUAGGGUAAAAGCCUACCAAGGCGACGAUCUGUAGCUGGUCUGAGAGGACGACCAGCCACACUGGGACUGAGACACGGCCCAGACUCCUACGGGAGGCAGCAGUGGGGAAUUUUGGACAAUGGGCGCAAGCCUGAUCCAGCAAUGCCGCGUGCAGGACGAAGGCCUUCGGGUUGUAAACUGCUUUUGUACGGAGCGAAACGGUCUGGGUUAAUACCCUAGGCUAAUGACGGUACCGUAAGAAUAAGCACCGGCUAACUACGUGCCAGCAGCCGCGGUAAUACGUAGGGUGCGAGCGUUAAUCGGAAUUACUGGGCGUAAAGCGUGCGCAGGCGGUUUUGUAAGACAGGCGUGAAAUCCCCGGGCUCAACCUGGGAAUGGCGCUUGUGACUGCAAAGCUAGAGUGCGGCAGAGGGGGAUGGAAUUCCGCGUGUAGCAGUGAAAUACGUAGAUAUGCGGAGGAACACCGAUGGCGAAGGCAAUCCCCUGGGCCUGCACUGACGCUCAUGCACGAAAGCGUGGGGAGCAAACAGGAUUAGAUACCCUGGUUGUCCACGCCCUAAACGAUGUCAACUGGUUGUUGGUCCUUAGCUGGAUCAGUAACGAAGCUAACGCGUGAAGUUGACCGCCUGGGGAGUACGGCCGCAAGGUUGAAACUCAAGGAAUUGACGGGGACCCGCACAAGCGGUGGAUGAUGUGGUUUAAUUCGAUGCAACGCGAAAAACCUUACCCACCUUUGACAUGGCAG
RNAcentral lists this ribosomal RNA (930 nucleotides) under uncultured bacterium. Its description in RNAcentral is "bacterial SSU rRNA". It matches the Rfam family "Bacterial small subunit ribosomal RNA", at positions 68 to 992 of the family's 1533-position model. The record is from RNAcentral.